UCCGGCGCGAAGCUCGGACGACCCCCCUCGCGGCGCUCUCAUACAUCCGCGAAAAGACCGCGUCCAUGCGAGUGAGCGCCUCGUUCAACCACAGCCGAAUCGGUCGCAGCGGGUGAUUGGCCGGAACCAAGUUAUCCAGCGUGGUCAUCAUGAACAUCAAUUCGGUGUAGCCGUCCGCUCUGCGCAUCGUUUCGGUCUCAGUGUCGUUCGAUUCCUUGAUUCAACGUUUGCCCCGCCCAGUUUGCCCCUUCCAAUCAGAUCACCCGCGUAAGAUGACCCGCGUAGAGGGUAUUUCAAUAGCCUGUUAAUGGUGGACUUAGUGAGCUUAAUCAGCGUUGCCUUAGUUUAGGCGAGCAUGCAGGCCUUGUAAAUCAUAGACUUCCAAAUCACGCAGAUAACGCAGACCUUCGACCGCGGCGCGCGCGCCAGACAUCGUCGUGUAGUACGUAACCUUAUUGGCCUGCGCGCUCAUCCGGAUGGACCGCGAAUCCGCGAUAGCGGCACGCGUUUCGUCCACCGUGGUGAAUACCAGCGCGAUUUCACCAUUUUUGAUCAUGUCGACGAUAUGCGGCCGGCCGUCCUUCACCUUGUUGACAACCUUUACCGGCACGCCCGCAGCCGAAAUGGCCGCCGCCGUACCCUUCGUCGCGACGAUCGGAUAGCCCAGUUCGUGCAGCAUCUGCGCGACUUCGACGGCCUUCGGCUUGUCGGCGUCCAUCACGGUCAGCAGCACCGUGCCCGAUUCCGGCAGACGCGAGCCCGCCGCCAGUUGCGACUUGAAGAGCGCUUCGCCGAAGGUGCGGCCCACGCCCAUCACUUCGCCGGUCGAACGCAUUUCAGGUCCGAGCACCGGAUCGACCGCCGGGAGCUUGACGAACGGGAACACCGCUUCCUUCACGCUGAAGUACGGCGGAAUGACUUCCUUCGUGACACCCUGCUCCUUCAACUUCUGACCGACCAUGGCGCGUGCGGCGAUCUUCGCGAGCGGCAGACCCGUUGCCUUCGACACAUACGGUACCGUGCGCGAUGCGCGCGGGUUCACUUCCAGCACGUAAAUGAUGUCCUUCUUCGAGCCAUCAUCCUGCGGCACUUGCUGGGUCGCGAACUGCACGUUCAUCAGCCCGACUACGUUCAGCGCCUUCGCCAUUGCGGCAGUUUGUCGCUUCAGUUCGUCAACGGUUUCCUUCGACAGCGAGUACGGCGGCAGUGAGCACGCCGAAUCGCCCGAGUGCACGCCCGCCUGUUCGAUGUGCUCCAUCACACCGCCGAUGAACACGUCCGUGCCAUCGGAAAUGCAAUCCACGUCGCAUUCGAUCCCGUCAUUCAGGAAGCGGUCGAGCAGCACCGGCGAAUCGUUCGAUACCUUCACGGCUUCGCGCAUGUAGCGCCCGAGAUCGCGCGGCUCGUGGACGAUUUCCAUCGCGCAGCCACCGAGCACGUACGACGGACGCACGACCAGCGGAUAACCGAUUUCUUCGGCCAGCUUCAGCGCUUCGUCUUCCGCGCGGGCCGUGCGAUUCGGCGGCUGACGCAGGUCGAGAUCCUUGAGCAGCUGCUGGAAACGCUCGCGGUCUUCGGCGGCGUCGAUCAUGUCCGGCGACGUGCCGAUGAUCGGCACACCGUUCGCUUCGAGAUCGAGUGCGAGCUUCAGCGGCGUCUGGCCGCCGUACUGCACGAUCACGCCGACCGGCUUUUCCAGGUCGACGAUUUCGAGCACGUCUUCGAGCGUCAGCGAUUCGAAGUACAGACGAUCGGACGUGUCGUAGUCAGUCGACACCGUUUCCGGGUUGCAGUUGACCAUGAUUGUUUCAUAGCCAUCCUCGCGCAUGGCGAGCGCGGCAUGCACGCAGCAAUAGUCGAACUCGAUGCCCUGCCCGAUCCGGUUCGGGCCGCCGCCCAGUACCAUGAUCUUCUUCUUGUCGGUUGGGUUCGCUUCGCACUCUUCUUCAUAGGUCGAGUACAUGUAUGCGGUCUUGGUCGCGAACUCGGCAGCGCACGUGUCGACGCGCUUAUAGACCGGGCGCACCUUCAGUUCGUGACGCUUCUUGCGCACGUCGUCCUGCUUCGAACCGAUGAGCUUCCCCAGACGCCGAUCCGAGAAACCGCUCUUUUUCAGAUACAGCAAUUCGUCGCGCGUCAGGCUUUCGAGCGUGCGGCCCUCGAGCGCUUUUUCCUUCAGGAUGAUCUGUUCGAUCUGCGCAAGGAACCACGGAUCGAUCGAGGUCUCUUCGAAGAUCUCUUCCAUCGUCAGGCCGAGACGGAACGCAUCGCCCAGAUACCAGAUGCGAUCCGGACCCGGCUCGCCGAUUUCGCGGAGGACUUCGUCGCGGCUCGUGGUCUUUUCGUCAAGACCGUCGACGCCGACUUCCAGGCCGCGCAGCGCCUUCUGGAACGAUUCCUGGAACGUGCGGCCCAUCGCCAUCACUUCGCCGACAGACUUCAUCUGCGUGGUCAGGCGCGAAUCAGCUUCGCGGAAUUUUUCGAACGCGAAACGUGGCACCUUCGUCACGACGUAGUCGAUCGUCGCUUCGAACGAUGCCGGCGUUUGUCCGCCGGUGAUUUCGUUCUUCAGUUCGUCGAGCUUGUAGCCGCACGCGAGUUUCGCCGCGACCUUGGCGAUCGGGAAGCCCGUUGCCUUCGAUGCCAGCGCGGACGAACGCGACACACGCGGAUUCAUCUCGAUGACGACCAUGCGGCCGUCUUUCGGGUUGAUCGCGAAUUGCACGUUCGAGCCGCCGGUAUCGACGCCGAUCUCGCGCAGUACCGCGAGCGACGCGUUACGCAGCACCUGAUAUUCUUUGUCGGUGAGCGUCUGCGCCGGCGCGACAGUGAUGGAGUCGCCCGUAUGCACGCCCAUCGGGUCGAGAUUUUCGAUCGAGCAGACGAUGAUGCAGUUGUCCUUCUUAUCGCGGACCACUUCCAUCUCGUACUCUUUCCAGCCGAGCAGCGAUUCUUCGAUCAGCAGUUUGCGCGUCGGCGAAAGAUCGAGACCAUGACGGCAGAUUUCCUCAAACUCUUCCUUGUUGUACGCGAUACCGCCGCCCGAACCGCCGAGCGUGAACGACGGACGAAUCACGGUCGGAUAGCCGCCGCUGCCGGUGGCUUCCGCGAUCUGCGCCUGAACGGCGAGCGCCUCUUCCAUCGAAUGCGCGAUGCCCGACUUGGCCGAACCGAGGCCGAUCUUGGUCAUCGCGUCCUUGAACUUCUGGCGGUCUUCCGCCUUGUCGAUCGCUUCCGGCGACGCGCCGAUCAGUUCGACCUUGUACUUUUCCAGCACGCCGUGAUGGAACAGAUCGAGCGCGCAAUUCAGCGCGGUUUGUCCGCCCAUGGUCGGCAGGAUCACAUCCGGUCGCUCUUUGGCGAUGAUGCGCUCGACCACUUCCCACGAGAGCGGCUCGAUAUAGGUGAUGUCAGCCGUGUUCGGGUCGGUCAUGAUCGUCGCCGGAUUGCUGUUGACGAGGAUGACCUUGUAGCCUUCCUCACGCAGCGCUUUACAAGCUUGCGCGCCCGAGUAAUCGAACUCGCACGCCUGGCCGAUGAUAAUCGGGCCCGCGCCGAUGAUGAGGAUGCUCUUGAUGUCUGUGCGCUUCGGCAUAACUGCUCUCGAUGAAUAUUUGCGUUAACCUGUUCUGUGCUUGUGCUUUUAAGCGGCGACCUUCGCCGACUCCAUAAGCUUGAUGAAGCGGUCGAACAGAUACGCGAUGUCGUGCGGGCCGGGUGACGCUUCCGGGUGGCCCUGGAAGCAGAAUGCGGGCUUGUCGGUGAGCGCGAAACCUUGCAGCGUGCCGUCGAACAGCGAGACGUGCGUAACCUUCGCGUUGGCGCGCAGCGUCGAGGCAUCGACCGCAAAACCGUGGUUCUGCGACGUGAUCACCACACGGCCGUCGUCCAUGUCCUUCACCGGAUGAUUCGCGCCGUGAUGGCCGGUCUUCAUCUUCAUGGUUUUCGCGCCGACCGCGAGGCCCAUGAUCUGGUGGCCGAGACAGAUGCCGAAGGUCGGAAUGCCCUUCGCGAUGAACUCGCGCGUCGCGGCGAUGGCGUAGUCGCACGGUUCCGGAUCGCCCGGGCCGUUCGACAGGAAGAUGCCGUCCGGAUUGAGCGCGAGCGCGUCCGUGGCGGUCGAUUGCGCGGGCAGCACGGUCACGCGGCAACCGCGUUUGGCCAGCAUGCGCAAGAUGUUGCACUUGACGCCGUAGUCGAACGCGACAACGCGGAACUUCGGUGCUUCCUGGCCGCCGCAACCACUGCCCAGACGCCAUUCGGUCUGGGUCCACUCAUAAGGCUUUUCCGUCGAAACGACUUUCGCCAGGUCCAUGCCCGCGAGGCCGGGGAACGACCACGCGAGACCGAGCGCCUUCGCUUCGUCGUCGCUGCCGGCGAGAAUGCAGCCAUUCUGCGCGCCCUUAUCGCGAAGGAUUCGCGUGAGCUUGCGCGUGUCGAUGCCCGCGAUCGCGACGACGCCUUGCGCCUUCAGAUAGUCGGAGAGCGAUUGCUCGGAACGGAAAUUCGAUGCGAGCACUGGCAGGUCACGGAUGAUGAGGCCGGCGGCAUGGACUUUGGUGGCUUCGACGUCUUCGGCGUUCACGCCGUAGUUGCCGAUGUGCGGAUAGGUUAGCGUGACGAUCUGGCGGGCGUAACUCGGAUCAGUCAGAAUUUCCUGAUAGCCGGUGAUGGCGGUGUUGAACACCACUUCGCCGAUCGUCGAACCGGGCGCGCCGAUCGAUUGACCACGAAAGACCGUGCCGUCGGCAAGUGCGAGAAGUGCGGGGAAAAAUGACGGCAACACGGGAAGCUCCUUGGGAACACCCUGUUACCGACCUGCCUGUUCGAAACUCAGGCUGAGCACCCGACGUGCGAUGACGCGGGUUUGCUUCGCGCGUUGACGGCGGCGCGCAGACUCGCUUCGGUGGCAUCCCUGAAGCCUGUUCGCAAGGUGUGAAGACGCGUGACAGGGGCGAUCGGCGGCAUGCGGCGCUGGCGGCUGGGCGCUGCUUACGAACGGUGUGUGGGUAGGCUCUAGGGCGCGAGUUUGAUAUGCUUAAAAUGCUUAAACAGUUUUAAUUAUAGCGGGUACACGCCGAAUCCGCAAAAUUUGGGAGCUGUCUGGUUGCUUCCCGCGCGGCUCCUGACGCGCCCACACCGCAAUGUGCGCCGACGCCGACCUGGAAGCCGAAGAUCUCAACAGGAAGAUGACAAGCGUGAGCGUGGUGUUCACGCGCCCGAUCAUGUGCGGCGGGAAGUACUCCGACAUUACCGCGUAACUGAGGAUGUCCGUGCCGCCGAACACGCCGUAAGCCGCGAGCAGUAAUUCGGGCGGCAGCGGCACACGCAGCACCAUCAGCAAUUGCGUGGCGACGAACAGCGCCAUGCCCGCGCCGCAAAACGCGUAGACCGACACGCCGCGCGCCGCAGCACCGAAGCCGAUGCAGCCGAACAUCAUCGCAAAGCCGAGCACAGAGACGAAGACGAGCGCCGCCGCGCGUGGGCGUAAGUGGCAUGACAUCGAGCAGAUAGGAACGAAUCCAGAGCGAUUGCAUCGCGUAGAACACGCCCUGCAUGACGACCGAAAACGAGGCGAUUUUCCAGAACGCCGUGCUCUUGAGAAUGUGCCAGGUGCCCUUGAACUGCGUGACGAUAUCUGCCUGAUGAUGCGCGUCGGUCUUGCGCGGCGCGAACAGCGCGAUGGCUGACGCGACCACCAGCGUGAACAUACCGAGGCCGACGCAGACCUGUCGCCACGUCGCCACAUGCAGCAGCGAUGCGAGCGGCGAGCCGACCACCACGCCGCCCAGAUUGCCGACGGCCAUCGUGAAUCCGUUGAUCAACGGCAGACGCGCCACCGGAAAAUGUUGCGCGGAAGCUUUGAACGCGGUGCUCAGGCAGACCGACACACCUACGCCGAUCAGCAAUCGCCCGAUCAUCAGUCCGGCCAGACCAUGCGCCGAACCGAACGUCCAGAUGCCCGCCGCCACGAAGAUCAGCAUGCCGGCGGUGACGAGUGUCGGCCGAAGUGAUCGAGCAGCACGCCAACGGGAAUCUGCGCCAGCGCGAAGCCGAUGAAAUACAGCGACGUCAGCAGACCGAGGUCCACGACGGACAGGCCGAGAUCGUGUGCGAUAAGCGGCGCGAAGCCGAGAUUGACGCCCCGGAAUACAUAGGAAACGAAGUAUCCGGCGGCGAACAGAAAAAAAGACUCUCAGGCGAACGGAGGACGACAUGCGAUGACGAGCGCGGCGUGGGAUUAUUUUUGAAACGCCAAUUUUUAACUGGUGCUGCCAAAUGAAAACGCCGUCACCUUGGUGACGGCGUGGAAUAAACAACAGCCGAUCGACCGCGCUUAUUUCUUCUUUUUGGUGGAGGCGUGCGCCGGAGCGGCGGCCUUGGACGAAUGCGCAGCACUCGACGCGGACACCUUGCUGACCUUGGCUGGCGCGGACUUGCCCUUCGCCUUCGAUGCCGGCACGUGCGUACCGAUGCGCGACACGCCGCCCGCCGACUUGCCCGACACCGUCUCGACGCGUACCGAACCCGGUUCCGCCAGCACCGCGCGCCCGUACGGCACGUGCAGCACGACGACCUGCCCCGGCAUGAACAUUUCACGAUGCGUGCGGUUCCACGCGCGGAUCUGCCCGACCGACACGUCGUAGCGAUCGGCGAGCGUGGCGAUCGACUGCUUGCGACGCACGUGGAUCAGCAUCUUGCGCGUAUCCGGCACGUCGCGCUCGACGGCAAGCAUGGCGUUUUCAGCGACGUCGGCACUGAUGUCCUCGUCGUCAUCGGUACGCGGCACGACGAUGGUCGAACCCGGCUUCAGACGCAUGCCCGCCGGAAUGCGGUUCACCGACAUGAGUGUAUCGGCAUCGACACCGAUUUUUUCGGCGAUAGCCGCCGGGCGCGCGCGCGCGGUGACCGUAUAGGUGGUCCAAGACGACAGCGCGCCCGAAUAAGAACCGAGAUUCUUCUGGAACACCACCGCAUUGUCGAACGGCAGCAGGAUCUGCGGAUUGGUCGCGCCGAGAAUGACCGGCUUCGAGAACGACGGAUUGAGCGAGCGGAAUUCCUCGCCGCUCAUGUUCGCGAGUUUCGCAGCCAUCGUCACAUCGAUGUCGCGCGCGGUCGUCACCGUGACGAAGUACGGAUGAUUCGGAAUGUCCGGCAGCGUCAGGGCGUACAUUUGCGGAUUUGAGACGAUGUUCUUGAUCGCCUGCAGCUUCGGCACGUAAUUGCGCGUCUCGUUCAGCAUGCGCAGGCUUUCGUAGUCGGUCGACAGCCCGGCCGCUUCGUUACGCGCGAUGGCGCGCUGCACGUUGCCUUCGCCCCAGUUGUACGCGGCGAGCGCCAGAUGCCAGUCGCCGAAAAUAUCGUGCAGACGCGAGAGAUAGUCGAGCGCGGCGCUGGUCGAGGCCAGCACGUCGCGACGCUCGUCCUGCCACAUGUUCUGCUUGAGGUUAUAGUCGCGGCCGGUGCCAGGCACGAACUGCCACAUGCCCGCCGCCUUCGCAACGGACAACGCCUGUGGGUUAUAGGCGGACUCGAUGAACGGCAGCAGCGCCAGUUCCGUCGGCAUGUGGCGCUGCUCGAGUUCCUCGACGAUGUGAUAGAGGUACUUCUGCGAGCGCCCCGUCAUGCGCUCCACGUAGUCCGGGCGCUGCGCAUACCAGUCGACCUGCAUGUCGACGAGAUCGCUUUGCAGAUCAGAAAUCUGGAAGCCCGCGCGAAUGCGGGACCAGAGAUCCGCCGAGCCGGCGAGAGCCGUAACGGGGGUCUUGUCUACGUCGAUGGUUUCCUUGGCUGCGGCGGUGCGGCGAAUCGUGUCGGCGACUUUUUGCUGCGAGGCUUCGAUGGGGGUGGCAUUGGCUGUGGUGAAGCUGGGCGCUGUCGGAACUUGACUGGCGCAGGCGGCCAGCGUGAGGACGGAUAGCGCACUAAGUGUUAGUCGCAUGAACGUCUCGGCAUCCAAAGGAUGAUGCUUGGAAAUUUGAAGCCGAUGGUACGGAACCGCAUUUAAGACGUCAAUAAGAAUGCACGCAAAACCUCUGCAAAAUCCGGCAUCUAACCAAAAUCCGGCAUCUAACGGCGUUUCCUACGAUUGGGAUGAAGUUGACCACAAAUUCGUUCGGGUUAGCGGAACUUGUCCUUCCAUCUGUGCAUCAGGGUGAACGCCGUCAGGCGGUCUUCCACGGGUUCGCUGAACUGCAGCGACAGCGCCCCGCACGAUCGGAACGUCGGUUCGCAGGAAAGGAUUCACCGCUUUUUCAUGGCCGAUGGUCGUAGGCAGCGUCGGCUUGCCGGCCGCGCGCAACGCCUGGGCGUCUUCGCUCCACCGCUCGAGGUCUUCGUUUUGCUAGUCGCACGCCAGCGCGAACCGGAUGUUCGACAAGGUAUAUUCGUGCGCGCAGUGGACCUGGGUCAACUCGGGGAGCACCGCGAGCGCAUCGAGCGAUGCAGCAUCUGCUCGGCGGUGUUUUCGAACAGACGCCCGCAGCCGCUCGCGAACAGCAUGUCGCCGCAGAAAAGAUGCGGCGUGCCGCCCGGAUCGGCCGCCUGGAAAUACGCGAUAUGGCCGGCCGUGUGACCCGGAACGUCGAUCACCGACAGAUCCAUCGCGGGGUGCUCGAUACGCACCGAAUCUCCGCCGCGCAAACGCUGACCGCGCAAACGCUGAAUCAGAUGCUCGAUGCGCUCGCCGGCCGGGCCGUAGACGGGAACGCCGCCCUCGGCCUUUCGGCUAUUGAGCAGCGCUUUCACGCCGCCGACGUGGUCGUUGUGAUGGUGCGUGAGUAAAAUAGCGGUCAGCCGCGUUCGGCGAGGUACGCUUUGACCGGCGCGGCGUCGCCCGAAUCGACGACCACCGCAUCGCACGAGUCGGAAACGAGCCAGAUGUAGUUGUCUUCGAAUGCCGGUACUGGCACGUAUUCAAGCGCUUUCUGGGCAAGGUGAAUUCAUAGCGAUUCUAUGGCCUCUUGCAGGGCCGAACAUUAACGCGGCAACCGAACAUGUCAGACCGAUCGAUUAUAGACUGGCCCGCCUGGACGAGCUCCGCGCCCGGACGCUACGUGCUCGACUGGGAGCAAGCGCUGCUCGAUCAAGUGAUCUCGGACAUCUUCGGCUAUCACGCGUUGCAGCUCGGCAUGCCACAACUCGACGCGCUGCGCGAGAACCGCAUGACCGGCCGCGCGCUCGUGCUCGACACGGAAAGCGGCGCGAGCGCGCCGUACACCAUGCCGUGCGCGGCAUCGCCGGGCGUGAGCGCCCUGCCCGCCGCCAGCGCGCCCGAGGGACGCAGCACCGUAUGGUGCGAUCUGCUCGAUCUGCCCUUCGAGGCGCAAAGCGUCGAUCUGCUUGUGCUGCCGCACACGCUCGAAUUUUCGCCCGAUCCGCACCGGCUGUUGCGCGAAGCCGAGCGCGUGCUCUUGCCUGAAGGCCAGUUGAUCAUCCUCGGCUUCAAUUCGUUGAGCCUGUGGGGUGCGCGACAGUCGCUGGGCAAGGUCGCGGGACGGCCAUUCGUGCCAGCGGCGCAUGAAAUGAUCGCGUUCACGCGGAUCAAGGACUGGAUCAAGCUGCUCGGCUUCGACUUUGAACGCGGACACUUCGGCUGCUAUCGUCCGCCGCUUCUCACGGACAAAUGGCUGCAACGCUAUCGUUUCAUGGAACCGGCCGGCGACCGCUGGUGGCCCAUUUUCGGUGCGGCAUACAUGAUCACGGCGGUGAAGCGCGUGCGCGGCAUACGACUCAUCGGUCCGCGCAAGCUCAAGAAACCCGCGCUCGCGCCCGGUCUCGCGCCGGUCGCCGCUCCGCACACUCGCAACGAGAUUGAUGACUGAAUCCGCAUCGAACAAGGUAAUCGACAUCUACACGGACGGCGCUUGCAAGGGCAACCCGGGCCCGGGCGGCUGGGGCGCGCUGUUGCGCUACGGCUCUACGGAGAAGGAACUGUUCGGCGGCGAGCCCGCGACCACCAACAACCGCAUGGAACUGAUGGCCGUCAUCGCCGCGCUCGAAGCGCUCAAGCGGCCGUGUCAGUCCGUAAUCCACACCGAUUCGCAAUAUGUGCAAAAAGGCAUCAGCGAAUGGAUUCACGGCUGGAAGAAAAAGAACUGGAUGACCGCCGCCAAGACGCCCGUAAAAAACGCCGACCUGUGGAAACGGCUCGAUGCACUGGUCGCGCAGCAUGAGGUCGAAUGGCGCUGGGUCAAGGGCCACGCCGGGCAUCCCGAGAACGAACGCGCCGAUGCGCUCGCCAAUCGCGGCGUGACAUUGCUCGCCGAAAGCUAAUCGCACGCACAACACGCACAUCUUCAUGCGCCAACUGAUACUGGACACGGAAACCACCGGCCUCAACGCCAAGACAGGCGACCGGAUCAUCGAAAUCGGCUGCAUCGAGCUGAUCAACCGGCGGCUCACUGGCAACAACCUGCAUCUGUACGUGAAUCCCGAGCGCGACAGCGAUCCGGGCGCACUGGCCGUGCACGGCCUCACCACGGAAUUCCUGAGCGACAAGCCCAAGUUCGGCGAAAUCGCCGCGCAGUUGCGCGACUUCAUCGCGGGUGCGGAGCUGAUCAUCCACAACGCGCCGUUCGACGUCGGCUUUCUCGAUGUCGAGUUCGGCAUGCUCGGCUUUCCGAAGGUGGCCGAGACCUGCGCGAGCGUGAUCGACUCGCUCGCGCAGGCCAAGCAGAUGUUCCCCGGCAAGCGCAAUUCGCUCGAUGCCUUGUGCGACCGCUUCGGCAUCAGCAACGCGCAUCGCACCUUGCACGGCGCACUGCUCGACUCGGAACUGCUCGCGGAAGUCUAUCUAGCGAUGACGUGCGGUCAGGAAAGCCUCGUCAUCGACAUGCUGGGCGAUCAGCCGAUGGAAGGCGCGGUCGCGACUGUGCGCGUCGCGCUCGAUGAUCUCGAUCUGUCGGUGAUCGUCGCGAGCGGCUACGAACUCGCCGCGCACGAAGCCGUACUGAACGACCUCGACAAGGCGAUCAAAGGCACGAGCGUCUGGCGCAAGGAAAAGACUCAGGCUGCGGGCGAUACCGUCGCCGCAUAAUUUUUUGCGAAUUUGCUUAAAGAAGCUCUUUACGAAUAGAAGCUCUUUACGAAUCGCGAAACGCCUGACAUAAUUUUAUCGUUAUUCGGGUGGUUAGCUCAG
Molecule: transfer RNA, 11140 nt
Filed under: Candidatus Paraburkholderia calva
Lineage: Bacteria; Pseudomonadati; Pseudomonadota; Betaproteobacteria; Burkholderiales; Burkholderiaceae
Description: tRNA-OTHER
Source: RNAcentral